Molecule: ribosomal RNA, 450 nt
Filed under: uncultured bacterium
Lineage: Bacteria
Description: partial 16S ribosomal RNA
Rfam family: Bacterial small subunit ribosomal RNA
Source: RNAcentral
GUGGGGAAUUUUGGACAAUGGGCGCAAGCCUGAUCCAGCAAUGCCGCGUGCAGGAAGAAGGCCUUCGGGUUGUAAACUGCUUUUGUACGGAACGAAACGGUCCGGGUUAAUACCCUGGGCUAAUGACGGUACCGUAAGAAUAAGCACCGACUAACUACGUGCCAGCAGCCGCGGUAAUACGUAGGGUGCAAGCGUUAAUCGGAAUUACUGGGCGUAAAGCGUGCGCAGGCGGUUUUGUAAGACAGGCGUGAAAUCCCCGGGCUCAACCUGGGAAUUGCGCUUGUGACUGCAAGGCUGGAGUGCGGCAGAGGGGGAUGGAAUUCCGCGUGUAGCAGUGAAAUGCGUAGAUAUGCGGAGGAACACCGAUGGCGAAGGCAAUCCCCUGGGCCUGCACUGACGCUCAUGCACGAAAGCGUGGGGAGCAAACAGGAUUAGAAACCCCAGUAGUCC